Molecule: unclassified non-coding RNA, 203 nt
Filed under: Hevea brasiliensis (rubber tree)
Lineage: Eukaryota; Viridiplantae; Streptophyta; Magnoliopsida; Malpighiales; Euphorbiaceae
Source: RNAcentral
CACAAACUCAGAUAGCUUGAAAACGAGAAGGUUUCCAAUAAUAAAAAUCAUUAAUAAAAUAGAAACAAAAACAAAAACUGCUCCUUUAGGACCAAACAAGAAGUGAUGCAUUUUUAAGGCAACAAAAGCACUAAAAAGAAAAACUGAAUAACAGUGGUUUUAUAUGCGCACUCAGCUGCACAUGCCAGCAAGUUAAUCAAAAG